This 31-nucleotide non-coding RNA is filed under the name Mus musculus (house mouse). The record is from RNAcentral. Lineage: Eukaryota; Metazoa; Chordata; Mammalia; Rodentia; Muridae.
UGGGAUUGUAGACAGGAACUCAAAAGAUGUC